UUCUCACUUAAAAAAAAGUGUCGUUCUCAUAGCUUCUCUGUUUGCUUCUGUAAACUCUAGAUCAAUGGCGGCGCUGCUUGGCCACAUUUUGAAGAAUCAAAAGAACUCCUUUCUUCUUCGCAACAUAACCACAACAUUGGAUACUAUCUCCUCUUCUUCGUUGCACCAAACACCUUUCAUUGUCCAAACUUUAUCACAAGUGAGACUGGUUGGAAAUGUAGCAGAAAGUGUUUGUGGAUUUGAUGAGAUGGUAGAAGGGAAGGAUAGGAAGUACUACAUGCUCGGUGGGAAAGGUGGUGUUGGAAAAACAAGCUGUGCUGCCUCUCUUGCUGUCAAAUUUGCAAAUCAUGGACACCCUACUAUGGUUGUCUCAACUGACCCUGCUCAUUCCUUAAGUGACUCUUUUGCUCAGGAUUUGACAGGGGGAAAUCUUGUUCCGGUCGAAGGUGUUAAUUCUCCAUUAUAUGCUCUUGAGAUAAACCCUGAGAAAUCUAUGGAUGAAUUUCGUGCAGCUGGUCAAAAAUAUGGUGGUGGGGGUGUUAAGAGUUUAAUGGAAAGUAUGGGACUUGGAGCGGUUGCUAAUCAGUUAGGGGAUCUUAAGCUUGAAGAGCUCUUGAACACUCCUCCACCUGGGACAGAUGAAAUCAUUGCAAUUUCUAAGGUGAUGCAAUUUCUUGAGUCUCAAGAAUAUAGUAUGUUCAGCCGGAUAGUUUUUGAUACAGCACCAACGGGUCAUACACUUCGGUUACUGUCAUUACCAGACUUCUUGGACGGAUCUAUCGGCAAACUUAUUAAGAUGAAGAUGAAAUUAGGUUCAAUCUUCAAAUCCUUGUUGGGAAAAGAGCAACCACAAAAUGAUCCUUUAGACAAACUUGAAAAGCUUAAGGAGAGAGUGGCAAAAAUACAGGAUCUUUUCCAAAAUCCAGACACUACCGAAUUCAUAAUAGUAACGAUUCCCACGGUUAUGGCAAUUAGUGAAUCGUCAAGAUUACAUGCAUCGUUGAAGAAACAAAGUGUACCUGUUAAAAGACUAGUCAUUAAUCAGAUUUUACCUCCUACGUCAGACUGCAAGUUUUGUUCGAUGAAAAUAAAGGAUCAACAACGUGCAAUUGAAACUAUCCACAAUGAUUCAGAACUUGCUGGCUUGAGAUUAUGCAAGGCACCCUUGGUGGAUAUGGAAAUAAGGGGCGUUCCAGCUCUCAAAUUCAUGGGGGAGAUGCUUUGGAGAUAAAACAUACAUUGUAGAUAAUUCGCAAAUUUCAGGAACACGAUCACAUUAUGGAGACACUUAAACAUUUAUAGCAAGUUUAGCGAUUACUCUGGCACUCGUUCAAGCAGUGAAAUGGGGUGAUGCCGCGAGGGCAAAAGAACCCUUCACAACAAGGUUGGCAAUCAGCAGAUCUAACAGUUUAUGUUGGGCUUCAAGAAGUUUGCUUUGGUUCUUCCUGAGCCUGCAGACUUGUCCCCUGCAGCAAAACUUCUUGCAUAGGCUUCUAUUUCUCCUGCCGUGCACAUUCUCUGUGUAAUAUCUCCUGAAAAAAGAAAGUCACCAUAAACAAACACAUAGUAAAACAUUUAUAUGUAUUCUUCUUGUAUUUCUUAUUUGUGUGAUCAUUGUCAAUAUUGAUAUGUAUUCUUCCA
Non-coding RNA from Cicer arietinum (chickpea), 1641 nucleotides. Lineage: Eukaryota; Viridiplantae; Streptophyta; Magnoliopsida; Fabales; Fabaceae. The record is from RefSeq and is a predicted model, not a curated record.